UGCAACAUGUCACUGCACUAGUAAAAUCUUGUCGAUUUUCUCCCUGUGAAUUUUCAUCGGUUAUACGAAAUCGUAGUCCAUAGAAUGGACAUUGCAAUCAAUUCCGGUUGAACGUUUCACGGAUCAUUGUUCCAUUUCGCAACGAGUACGUUUGUCCAUGCGGUUACAUGCAUUGUUGUUACAUUUCUGCCAAUAGAAGAAGCCUGUUUUCAUGAAGUAGAUAUCGACUACACACAAAACAAUAUGGUGACAAUGUGGUGAAAUAAAUACUGACAAAACGCGCAAUUAAAAUGUAUAAUGAAACGUUAAAUCGCACGAGAAUUGCAGUUCUAGUAAGUGAGCUACAUCGGUCGCUAAUUACUUACAAGAUUAAUUUUCAACCAAGUUCGCCACAGAUAUUACGAGAUUAAGUCUCUUUUUUAAGUCAUGUUGCAAGCAGGAAGCCAUUUUUCUUCGACGAAGCUCUUGGCUAAGCAAAAAAAAAAAAAAAGGAAG
Apis dorsata (giant honeybee) is the source of this 495-nucleotide long non-coding RNA. RefSeq lists it as uncharacterized. The transcript has 2 exons. The record is from RefSeq and is a predicted model, not a curated record. Lineage: Eukaryota; Metazoa; Arthropoda; Insecta; Hymenoptera; Apidae.